RNAcentral lists this ribosomal RNA (395 nucleotides) under uncultured bacterium. Its description in RNAcentral is "partial 16S ribosomal RNA". It matches the Rfam family "Bacterial small subunit ribosomal RNA", at positions 523 to 918 of the family's 1533-position model. The record is from RNAcentral.
AUACGUAGGGUGCAAGCGUUAAUCGGAAUUACUGGGCGUAAAGCGUGCGCAGGCGGUUUUGUAAGACAGUGGUGAAAUCCCCGGGCUCAACCUGGGAACCGCCAUUGUGACUGCAAGGCUGGAGUGCGGCAGAGGGGGAUGGGAUUCCGCGUGUAGCAGUGAAAUGCGUAGAUAUGCGGAGGAACACCGAUGGCGAAGGCAAUCCCCUGGGCCUGCACUGACGCUCAUGCACGAAAGCGUGGGGAGCAAACAAGAUUAGAUACCCUGGUAGUCCACGCCCUAAACGAUGUCAACUGGUUGUUGGGGAUUUAUUUUCUCAGUAACGAAGCUAACGCGUGAAGUUGACCGCCUGGGGAGUACGGCCGCAAGGUUAAAACUCAAAUGAAUUGGCGGGG